Long non-coding RNA from Oncorhynchus tshawytscha (Chinook salmon), 3257 nucleotides. The record is from Ensembl. Lineage: Eukaryota; Metazoa; Chordata; Actinopteri; Salmoniformes; Salmonidae.
AGGCAAGUCAGUUUUAUUUAUUUAUAAUUAUUGGAGAAAAAUCAGUAUUGCAUAGAAGUAUACAAACAGACAAUGAUAACAUAUGCUAGGGGGUACAACAAAUGACAGAUUAUACAAAGACCUUAAACGAUGCACACUUGUUGAUUGUUUUAACAGCUUUCUUAUUAGAAGGAUGUAGGAUAGUCUUAAUGUACUGCUCAAAUUCCUUAUAGAAAACACAGUGGUUUUUUUAUUAGUAAAUUUACAUUCAUGAAUAUGACAUUUUUCCAUUAACACAAUUAGAUGUAUAAGGUAAAAUUGUUUUUCUUUAUCUUUACUAUGGUUAAGGAGACCGAGCAGCACAUUCUCCCAUGAAAAUACAAAAAAGUCAUCAAGAAUAUUAACAAUUAUAAAACUAUGAAUAUCUUUCCAUAAUUGUUUUACAUGUAGACAAUGCCAAAAUAAAUGUGAAACUGUUUCUGGAUGCUCAACACAAAAAGUAGGUGUAUAUAAAAUUAUAUUUGUUUGUGGAUGAAUUUACUGCUACCGGAUGAAGACUAUUGCACUGCGAAUUUGAGCAUUGAAGAUCCAUUCAAAAACGUUUUCAAAAACGUUUAAAAAACUACAAGGGUGAGGGGGUAGUCACUUCCUGCUUACUUUCAUAGCACAUUUCAUUUAAUCAUUUUCGUCUCUUUCAUUUCAUUGUUGUAAAGAAUGAAUUUUAAAUUCACUUUAAAUAAAGUUAGAUUAAAUUUGAUUUGAUUUCCUCCAGGACUACAUGACAGAGAAGCUAUGGUUCCCUCUCCACCAGGGCUGUGUACCAGUCUACCGCAGCUCCUCGUCAGUAGCCGACUGGAUGCGCAUCCACCGCACUGUCAUCCUUAUCAAUGACUUCCCAUCACCUCAGGACGUAGCCAAGUUCCCCAAGCCGCUGGAUGAGAACGAUGAAGAGUACGCUAAGUAUUUAGUUUAAGAAGCCGAGCCAAGUUACCAACGUUGGCCUGAUGGAGGCACUGGAGAGCAGGGAGUAAAGAGUACGCUAAGUAUUUAGUUUAAGAAGCCGAGCCAAGUUACCAACGUUGGCCUGAUGGAGGCUCUGGAGAGCAGGGAGUGGGGCGUGAACGACAUGAGCAAACCCAGGGUAGCCUAGUGGUUAGAGCGUUGGACUAGUAACCGAAAGGUUGCAAGUUCAAAUCCCCAAGCUGACAAGGUACAAAUAUGUCAUUCUGCCCCUGAACAGGCAGUUAACCUACUGUUUCUAGGCCGUCAUUGAAAAUAAGAAUUUGUUCUUAACUGACUUGCCUAGGAAAAUAAAGGUUAAUUUUUUUUAAUUACCUCAACGGCUUUGAGAGCUAUGUCUGUGACCAGGAGAAUACCAGACUGGAAGCUGAACGGGCCUAUAGGAAAGCACCAGAGAAGAGCCCGCCCCCCCCAGCCUAAGCUGGCCAAUAAUUCUCAUAGGGGAUGUCCUCUACCCAGUCCAGGAUUUUGAGACCGUCAGGACCGACACACCAAUGACAGCUUGGUCCAGAUGUGGCCACAGGACUACAGGCAGAGUCUAGGUCAGGCUGAAGGAUUGGAGUCCCCAAUCAUACAUAACGAGUCAGACCCUGCACUGCUCUGACAUCACAUCCAGGAUUUGGCUAUGAGGAGGGCCAAAGGAGGACAGGCAUAACUAGUCGAACCCUGCACUGCUGAGGAACCACAUACAGGAUGAGAGCCAGAAGUAACUGAGAAAGUCCCUUAUUGACAGUAUUUUUUGACAGAAAGAGGACAAGGAAGGAAAGACACGUACAGUUGAAGUUUUUCACAAAUCUUGACAUUUAAUCCUAAUAAAAAUUCCCUAUCAGUUAGAAUCACCACUUUAUUUUAAGAAUGUGAAAUGUCAGAAUAAUAGUAGAGAUAAUGAUUUAUUUCAGCUUUUAUGUAUUUCAUCACAUUCCCAGUGGGUCAGAAGUUUACAUAAACUCAAUUAGUAGUUGGUAGCAUUAACUUUGGAAGUAUGCUUGGGGUCAUUUUCCAUUUGGAAGACCCAUUUUCGACCAAGCUUUAACUUACUGAUGUCUUGAGAUGUUGCUUCAAUAUAUCUACCAAAUUUCCCUUCCUCAUGAUGCCAUCAAUUUUGUGAAGUGCACCAGUCCCUCCUGCAGCAAAGCACCCCCACAACAUGAUGCUGCCACCCCUGUGCUUCAAGGUUGGGAUGGUGUUCUUCGGCUUGCAAGCCUCCCACUUUUUCCUCCAAACAUAUCGAUGGUCAUUAUGGCCAAACAGUUCUAUUUUUGUUUCAUCAGACCAGAGAAUAUUUCUCCAAAAAGUACAUUCUUUGUCCCCAUGUGCAGUUGCAAACCGUAGUCUGGCUUUUUUAUGCCGGUUUUGGAGCAGUGGCUUCUUCCUUGCUGAACGGCCUUUCAGGUUAUGUCAAUAUAGGACUCGUUUUACUGUGGAUAUAGAUACUUUUGUACCUGGUUCCUCCAGCAUCUUCACAAGGUCCUUUGCUGUUGUUCUGGGAUUGAUUUGCACCAAAGUACAUUAAUCUCUAGGAGACAGAAUGCAUCUCCUUCCUGAGUGGUAUGGCGGCUGCGUGGUCCCAUGGUGUUUAUACUUGCGUACUAUUGUUUGUACAGCUGAACAUGGUACCUUCAGGAAUUUGGAAAUUGCUCCCAAGGAUGAACCAGACUUGUGGAGGUCUACAAUUUAUUUUCUGAGGUCUUGGCUGAUUUCUUUUGCUUUUCCUGUGAUGUCAAGCAAAGAGGCACUGAGUUUGAAGGUAGGCCUUAAAAUACAUCCACAGGUACACCUCCAAUUAACUCAAAUUAUGUCAAUUAGCCUAUCAGAAGCUUCUAAAGCCAUGACAUAAUUUUCUGGAAUUUUCCAAGCUGUUUAAAGGCACAGUCAACUUAGUUUAUCUAAACUUCUGACCCACUGGAAUUGUGAUACAGUGAAAUACAAGUGAAACAAUCUGUCUGUAAACAAUUGUUGGAAAAAUUAUUUGUGUCAUGCACAAAGUAGAUGUCCUAACUGACUUGCCAAAACUAUAGUUUGUUAACAAGAAAUGUGUGGAGUCAUUGAAAAAUGAGUUUUAAUGACUCCAACCUAAGUGUAUGUAAACUUUCGACUUCAACUGUAUUUGGACAUGUCAAGAGACUUGCACCCCAAAACCAGUAAUGCUUGGAGAAUCUACCACAAUGUUAAUGAACUGUUACUGAACUAGAGAAGAUCAACUGUUACUGAACUAGAGAAUAUCAACUGUUACUGAACUAGAGAAUAUCAACUGUUAC